This 157-nucleotide non-coding RNA is filed under the name Mesorhizobium sp. NBSH29. RNAcentral's name for it is "6S / SsrS RNA". It matches the Rfam family "6S / SsrS RNA". From Rfam's summary of the family: E. coli 6S RNA was the first non coding RNA to be sequenced, but its function was unknown until recently. Lineage: Bacteria; Pseudomonadati; Pseudomonadota; Alphaproteobacteria; Hyphomicrobiales; Phyllobacteriaceae. The record is from Rfam by way of RNAcentral.
UGCGGUCUGCGCUUCCCGGCAGGAGAUUCAAAUUCCCCGGGGCCUUAUUGAUCCCUAGGGAGCUGUCCCUGGAAAGACUCGUGGGUUUUUCUAUAUGGCGCCCACCUACUUUGUAGGUUCCCGGGAUCGUUUUCUUCACCGGUUGGGUGGAUCGCAC